AUUGUGGCGAUGAACAAGAAGAGUAAACUUCGCGGGCAUUUUUAGAGAGUCUCCGCUGCUGGGAAGGAGAUAAUGCCGGGAGUCGAAAGUUCGCUUGGGAGCUUUUCGGAGGAAAUGCCGGACGUGUGCUUCGCGUUAAGAAGAUGCAAGUGAUAAAUCAGGGUGGUACCGCGAAAUUCAGCCUUCGCCCCUCGU
This 195-nucleotide non-coding RNA is filed under the name Pseudoselenomonas ruminantium. Its description in RNAcentral is "Selenomonas ruminantium T-box sequence". It matches the Rfam family "T-box leader". From Rfam's summary of the family: Uncharged tRNA acts as the effector for transcription antitermination of genes in the T-box leader family. T-boxes are found upstream of many aminoacyl-tRNA synthetase genes and some amino acid biosynthetic genes usually in Gram-positive bacteria. The record is from RNAcentral. Lineage: Bacteria; Bacillati; Bacillota; Negativicutes; Selenomonadales; Selenomonadaceae.